RNAcentral lists this ribosomal RNA (496 nucleotides) under uncultured bacterium. RNAcentral describes it as "partial 16S ribosomal RNA". It matches the Rfam family "Bacterial small subunit ribosomal RNA", at positions 28 to 506 of the family's 1533-position model. The record is from RNAcentral.
GAUGAACGCUGGCGGCGUGCCUAAUACAUGCCAGUCGAGCGAACAGACGAGGAGCUUGCUCCUCUGACGUUAGCGGCGGACGGGUGAGUAACACGUGGAUAACCUACCUAUAAGACUGGGAUAACUUCGGGAAACCGGAGCUAAUACCGGAUAAUAUAUUGAACCGCAUGGUUCAAUAGUGAAAGACGGUUUUGCUGUCACUUAUAGAUGGAUCCGCGCCGCAUUAGCUAGUUGGUAAGGUAACGGCUUACCAAGGCAACGAUGCGUAGCCGACCUGAGAGGGUGAUCGGCCACACUGGAACUGAGACACGGUCCAGACUCCUACGGGAGGCAGCAGUAGGGAAUCUUCCGCAAUGGGCGAAAGCUUGACGGAGCAACGCCGCGUGAGUGAUGAAGGUCUUCGGAUCGUAAAACUCUGUUAUUAGGGAAGAACAAAUGUGUAAGUAACUAUGCACGUCUUGACGGUACCUAAUCAGAAAGCCACGGCUAACUACGG